Molecule: non-coding RNA, 707 nt
Organism: Vicugna pacos (alpaca)
Lineage: Eukaryota; Metazoa; Chordata; Mammalia; Artiodactyla; Camelidae
Source: RefSeq, a predicted model, not a curated record
AUGACCACCUGAUUGGGAGCUGCUUUCAUGUUAUUCUGGCUCAUCCCCUCGAGCUGGGUGCAGGGUAUGUAUAAAAGGCCUCGGAUCAUACAGUCUCCUCACUCCAUCAGACACACUAUUGCUUGCCCAAGGUUUGAAGAACAAGAGCAACUGAGCAUUCUCCAAGAUGUUCUGCCAGCAAAACCAGCAGAAAUGCCAGCUCCCCGCCAAGUGUCGCCCCAAAUACCCACCCAAGUGCCCCCCUCAGGCCCCGGGUCCCCACCCUGCUCCUGCCCCCUCCUGCUGUGUCCCCAGGUGCUGUGUUUCUGGCUUCAGAAGCAGCUGCUCUCUGGUGUCCCACCGAUUUCCGAGAGUCUGCCUCGACCUGGCCCAGCCUUCCAUCUGCUGUGAGAGGGAGCCCUCCGCAUGUUCCUGCAGUUGCCAUGGCCAUGGGGGCUACAGAUGACCUGCAUCCUUUGAGGAGCCCAAGAUGCACAGUCAGGGACCAGCCCAGAAUGGAUGUCACAUCUCACUCUCAGCCUCGUUCUUCCCUCUGCUUCUGAGUUAAGCUGCUUAGAUGUGUAGGUGAUGGAUGCCGCUUUUUCCUGAAAAUCUCAGACCUCUUGGCCUUAGCUCUGGUCCUAGACCAAGAAGCCCUGAAUGCUGGAGAAAACUCUGCUUCCCAAAGCCUCAUCAGUGUGCAAAAAUAAAGCUUAUCUUUCCUGGCA